CACUGACUCUUAUGAAGAAAACAACAAAUUCAAAAAAAGCAAACAAACGAAAGCAAACCAAAACAACACUUUGCUUAUAUAUAUACACAAGCAUACACCUCAAAAUAUGUGUUUACUAUGCUAAUCAUAAAUUAGACUUAAACUAAAACUCUGUGCUUUCCAAGUUUUCUGGGCCAGAUAUCUGAUAAGCAAGAGUAUAUAUUUGUAAUUUAUCAGAAAUAAUGAAACAUAUCCACUGUAUUAGUUUCUUAAGGCCACCAGAACAAAUUGCACAAACUGACGGGCUUCAGACAACAGAAAUUCAUUCUUUCACAUUUCU
RNAcentral lists this long non-coding RNA (319 nucleotides) under Pan troglodytes (chimpanzee). Its description in RNAcentral is "long non-coding RNA NONPTRT007752". The record is from RNAcentral. Lineage: Eukaryota; Metazoa; Chordata; Mammalia; Primates; Hominidae.